Non-coding RNA from Meloidogyne enterolobii, 115 nucleotides. NCBI's taxonomy places the organism in Eukaryota, Metazoa, Nematoda, Chromadorea, Rhabditida, Meloidogynidae. The record is from the annotation of a GenBank genome assembly.
GCCCCGGUAACUCAGUGGUAGAUUUAAUUAAUAAAAAUUAAUUAACACUAUAGUGAGCGAAAGCGCCUAGCAACAACUAGCAGGUGGUCGCAGGUUCGAAUCCUGCCCGGUGGCU